GACGAACGCUGGCGGCGUGCUUAACACAUGCAAGUCGAACGGAAAGGCCCUGCUUUUGUGGGGUGCUCGAGUGGCGAACGGGUGAGUAACACGUGAGUAACCUGCCCUUGACUUUGGGAUAACUUCAGGAAACUGGGGCUAAUACCUGAUAGGAGCUCCUGCUGCAUGGUGGGGGUUGGAACGUUUCGGCGGUUGGGGAUGGACUGGCGGCUUAUCAGCUUGUUGGUGGGGUAGUGGCUUACCAAGGCUUUGACGGGUAGCCGGCCUGAGAGGGGGACCGGGCACAUUGGGACUGAGAGACGGCCCAGACUCCUACGGGAGGCAGCAGUGGGGAAUAUUGCACAAUGGGCGGAAGCCUGAUGCAGAAACGCCGCGUGCGGGAUGACGGCCUUCGGGUUGUAAACCGCUUUCGCCUGUGACGAAGCGUGAGUGACGGUAAUGGGUAAAGAAGCACCGGCUAACUACGUG
Molecule: ribosomal RNA, 468 nt
Filed under: uncultured bacterium
Lineage: Bacteria
Description: partial 16S ribosomal RNA
Rfam family: Bacterial small subunit ribosomal RNA
Source: RNAcentral